Molecule: long non-coding RNA, 299 nt
Organism: Mya arenaria
Lineage: Eukaryota; Metazoa; Mollusca; Bivalvia; Myida; Myidae
Exons: 3
Source: RefSeq, a predicted model, not a curated record
UACGAAGUUGCAUACGAAGAUUUCUGCGACCGUUUUAUUAACGCUUUCGUACGUAAUUACUCUUCAAAAUGGGGAAGGAUCGGACGAAAAUGUAAACAAACCGUAGAUGCAAUCUUUUGAAAGAAAAGCUCAGUCAUCUGAGAUGCAGUGUUGCAGCACUGAAAAGCAUUGGGUGCCCAUCAUAGUGUUUCUCUUUGCCUGCAAUCAGGAUACAUUAACUGACCUUUGAACUGUGUUUUCCAACUUGGGAUUCAAACACAUGCCCUCUUGGGUAGGAGAAAGUCAGACAAACACCUGUG